UUCCGUAGGGGAACCUGCGGAGGGAUCAUUAACGAGUUCCAUUCUCCUUAAUACACCCGUGAACGUUUCUUCAACUGUUCGUUGCUUCGGCGGGCGGCCCCGGGGAGGGGCCGCAGCCCGCAAGGGCGCCCGCCGGCGGCAGCGCAGCACAACUCUUGCGAUUUAGGCCCCUCUGAGAAGACACUAAAUGAGUCAAAACUUUCAACAACGGAUCUCUUGGUUCUGGCAUCGAUGAAGAACGCAGCGAAAUGCGAUAAGUAAUGUGAAUUGCAGAACUCAGCGAAUCAUCGAAUCUUUGAACGCACAUUGCGCCCGCCGGCAUUCCGGCGGGCAUGCCUGUUCGAGCGUCAUUUCAACCCUCGAGCCCUGCUCGGUGUUGGGGCCCCGCGGCCGCCGCGGGCCCUGAAAAGAAGUGGCGGGCGCGCCUGGACCCGUAGCGCAGUAAUACACCUCGCUCGCGGCGUCCCGGCGCGUGCCGGCCGUAAAACCCCUUUAUCUCAAGGUGACCUCGGAUCAGG
RNAcentral lists this ribosomal RNA (518 nucleotides) under fungal sp. A223. RNAcentral's name for it is "eukaryotic LSU rRNA". The stretch from base 197 to 350 matches the Rfam family "5.8S ribosomal RNA". The record is from RNAcentral. Lineage: Eukaryota; Fungi.